Molecule: transfer RNA, 77 nt
Filed under: Pseudomonas phage vB_PsyM_KIL2
Lineage: Duplodnaviria; Heunggongvirae; Uroviricota; Caudoviricetes; Vandenendeviridae
Also listed under: 2 other names
Description: tRNA-Thr
Rfam family: tRNA
About the family: Transfer RNA (tRNA) molecules are approximately 80 nucleotides in length.
Source: RNAcentral
GCCCGUUUAGCUCCAAUUGGUAGAGCGCCUGUCUUGUAAUCAGGAUGUUUGCGGUUCGAAUCCGUAAAUGGGCACCA